UGCCAGCCGCCGCGGUAAUACGGAGGGUGCAAGCGUUGUUCGGAAUUAUUGGGCGUAAAGGGCUCGUAGGCGGCCUGCCAAGUCCCACGUGAAAGUCCACGGCUCAACCGUGGAAGUGCAUUUGAAACUGGGAGGCUUGAGUAUUGGAGGGGGUGGUGGAAUUCCCGGUGUAGAGGUGAAAUUCGUAGAUAUCGGGAGGAAUACCGGUGGCGAAGGCGACCACCUGGCCAAAUACUGACGCUGAGGUGCGAAAGCGUGGGGAGCGAACAGGAUUAGAUA
Molecule: ribosomal RNA, 279 nt
Filed under: uncultured bacterium
Lineage: Bacteria
Description: partial 16S ribosomal RNA
Rfam family: Bacterial small subunit ribosomal RNA
Source: RNAcentral